GAUGAAGAACGUAGCGAAAUGCGAUAAGUAAUGUGAAUUGCAGAAUUCCGUGAAUCAUCGAAUCUUUGAACGCACAUUGCGCCCCCUGGUAUUCCGGGGGGCAUGCCUGUCCGAGCGUCAUUGCAACCUUCAAGCGCGGCUUGUGUGUUGGGUCUCGUCCCCCGUGGACGGGCCCGAAAGGCAGUGGCGGCGUCCCGACAUGGUGCCCGAGCGUAUGGGAAUCCUCUUCCGCUCGAAUCGGCCCAUGCGGCGCUGGUCGUAACCAAAUUUUUUACCGGUGGACCUCGGAUCAGGUAGGGAUACCCGCUGAACUUAAGCAUAUCAAUAAGCGGAGGA
Molecule: unclassified non-coding RNA, 336 nt
Filed under: soil metagenome
Description: partial contains 5.8S ribosomal RNA, internal transcribed spacer 2, and large subunit ribosomal RNA
Rfam family: 5.8S ribosomal RNA (bases 1-120)
Source: RNAcentral